AGGACCACUUGAUUCCACACUAAAAGGGCCGGGAAUCGUGGUUGCCCGACUCAAGUCGCCCGCGCGUGUCGCGGAGCCCCGCGGCAGUUGUGGUUGGGUGGCUUCUGUGGUCCAAGGAGGAAUGAGCCAAAUUGCUACAGAAGUUGAGUCAACCCACUGCCCUCAAAUCCUGAGAUGUAUUCCCAGUGGGAAAAGGAACACUCCUUCAGGACUUUGUACCCCAAAUUCCACGAGACCCACAGACACCCUCAGCCCAGCCCAGCUCCAGGACAGACCAUAAUGAAAGAUGCUUUACCUUGAAAACUAAAUGGACAGGACUUGAUCACAAAGCAUCACCUCUCCCCUGGACUCCAGAGGAUCGUUCCUAACUGCUUACUUGACACAUCUAUUAGGUAUCUCAAACUGGAAGGUCUAAAACUGAACUCUCCCUCCUCCAUAAUCUGCCUCCCCUUAGCCUUCCCUUUGUCAGUAAAUGAUGAGUUUUUUCCU
This 489-nucleotide long non-coding RNA is filed under the name Homo sapiens (human). RNAcentral's name for it is "HSALNT0025596". The record is from RNAcentral. Lineage: Eukaryota; Metazoa; Chordata; Mammalia; Primates; Hominidae.